UUGACAGGUGCGCCCCUGCAGACUUAACAGGUGCACCCCGCAUCUCGUCAACAGUCUGCAUGUGCCAUCUCUGUGCUCUUACGGUGUUUAAAGAAGAAAGGUGUUUAAGGAAGAAAGGUGUUUUCUGAAGGAAGGAUAUUACAGAAAGCAAAGUGAAUUUGUGUUCAAAAUAUGGCUGACGGCUGAACAUAAAUAAAAGGCUUCUGAACGCUUCACCAUUGUCUGGGUGGGGUUCGCUACAACUGGCGAUACUCCAUAUCUCAGUUAUGUGAACAGAAUGUGUGUUGUUUUCCCACUGUUCUUCAAACAAGUUCCUGAGUCAAGUCAAGUCAAUUUUAUUUGUAUAGCCCAAAAUCACAAAUCACAAAUUUGCCUCGGGGGGCUUCACAAUCUGUACAGGAUACGUCAUCCUCUGUCCUUGACAUUGCAACCCUCACAUUGGAUAGGGAAAAACUUAACCAAAAAAAAAAAAAACCUCUGAAAUGGAAUGAUUAGUGAAAUAUGUCAGACAUUAAUUAUGAUUAUGCUUUUAUAAAUGGAAAUAAAACAU
Long non-coding RNA from Sebastes umbrosus (honeycomb rockfish), 550 nucleotides. RefSeq lists it as uncharacterized. The transcript has 2 exons. The record is from RefSeq and is a predicted model, not a curated record. Lineage: Eukaryota; Metazoa; Chordata; Actinopteri; Perciformes; Sebastidae.